CUCGAAGUAUAUUGAUGUUAAAGUAAUAGUAUUAUUAGUAGCAGUCAUCAACAAAAGACAAAAUCACAAAAUAAAAAUAAAGCAUAUUAAUAAAGUCUAAAAGAUAAUGAAGAAAUAUAAUGUUAUGAAAAUCAACCAAGAGUUCAACAAAAUAAACUAAUUAAUUUGUGAGCAAAAUUUCUUCUAUUUCUAAAGAAAUUUGAAAAUCACAACAAUGUAAAAAAUAGCACAAAAGCUCCCAGAGAUAGUAUCUUUUCGGCCAAAUCUGGAAUCCCUGUUGAAGGAGAAAAUAGAGGCAGCGUUUCUUCAGUGGCAUUCGCCGGAGCAACGCCUUAGAUCGUGAAAAUUCACCCAGAUCUAGCCAUUUUGGUACGAUAGUGGUGGUGUGGUUUGUUGGAGCUCGUUCACCAGAGCUCCGACAGUGAAGGAAAAAUGGAAGGGAAAAAAAUUUGAUAUUUCUUUGUGUGUAUAUUUUGUGUGUGUUUGGGAGAGAAAGUGGGGAGUGAUUUAUAAAUAUACGUGUGUGUAUUUUUCGGUGGGAGGAGAAAAAUAUGUGUAUGUAUUUGGGAGAGAGAGGAGAAAAAG
Molecule: long non-coding RNA, 585 nt
Filed under: Capsicum annuum
Lineage: Eukaryota; Viridiplantae; Streptophyta; Magnoliopsida; Solanales; Solanaceae
Description: long non-coding RNA (CANN_LNC011107)
Source: RNAcentral